This 58-nucleotide transfer RNA is filed under the name Micrasema sp. XG-2021. Its description in RNAcentral is "tRNA-Ser". Lineage: Eukaryota; Metazoa; Arthropoda; Insecta; Trichoptera; Brachycentridae. The record is from RNAcentral.
GAAAUAAAUAAACGUUAAACUUCUAAUUUAACAUCUAGUGUAAAUCAUUAAUAUUUCU